RNAcentral lists this ribosomal RNA (459 nucleotides) under uncultured bacterium. RNAcentral describes it as "partial 16S ribosomal RNA". It matches the Rfam family "Bacterial small subunit ribosomal RNA", at positions 339 to 795 of the family's 1533-position model. The record is from RNAcentral.
CUACGGGGGGCUGCAGUAAGGAAUAUUGCGCAAUGGAGGCAACUCUGACGCAGCCAUGCCGCGUGCAGGAAGAAGGCCUUAUGGGUCGUAAACUGCUUUUAUUUACGAAUAAACCCCCGAACGUGUUCGGGGCUGAAGGUACUAAACGAAUAAGCACCGGCUAACUCCGUGCCAGCAGCCGCGGUAAUACGGAGGGUGCUAGCGUUAUCCGGAUUUAUUGGGUUUAAAGGGUGCGCAGGCGGGCUAUUAAGUCAGUGGUGAAAUCCCGGGGCUCAACUCCGGAACUGCCACUGAUACUGAUAGUCUUGAGUUUGGUUGAAGUGGGCGGAAUGUAGCAUGUAGCGGUGAAAUGCAUAGAUAUGCUACAGAACACCAAUCGCGAAGGCAGCUCACUAAGCCAAAACUGACGCUCAUGCACGAAAGCGUGGGGAUCAAACAGGAUUAGAUACCCCAGUAGUC